UGUCCAGUAGCACCUUAGGGACCAACUAAGUUUGUUCUUGGUAUAAGCUUUUGUGUGCAUGAAGAAGUGUGCAUGCACACAAAAGCUUAGUUGGUCUCUAAGGUGCUACUGGACA
This is a non-coding RNA of Podarcis lilfordi (Lilford's wall lizard), 115 nucleotides long. Lineage: Eukaryota; Metazoa; Chordata; Lepidosauria; Squamata; Lacertidae. The record is from the annotation of a GenBank genome assembly.